GCAAGUCGAACGGUAACAGGUCCUUCGGGAUGCUGACGAGUGGCGCACGGGUGAGUAAAGCGUAGGAAAACUAUCCAGAGGUGGGGGACAACAUUCGGAAACGGAUGCUAAUACCGCAUACCUUCUAUGGAAGAAAGGCUUCGGCCGCCCUUGGCGGGUCCUGCGUCGGAUUAGUUAGUUGGUGGGGUAAUGGCUUACCAAGACGGCGAUCCGUAGCUGGUCUGAGAGGAUGAGC
This 235-nucleotide ribosomal RNA is filed under the name uncultured bacterium. RNAcentral's name for it is "partial 16S ribosomal RNA". It matches the Rfam family "Bacterial small subunit ribosomal RNA", at positions 57 to 305 of the family's 1533-position model. The record is from RNAcentral.